Molecule: non-coding RNA, 83 nt
Organism: Potamilus streckersoni
Lineage: Eukaryota; Metazoa; Mollusca; Bivalvia; Unionida; Unionidae
Source: the annotation of a GenBank genome assembly
UGGUAGUAACUCAGCUAGUAAAGCAUCAGACUUGUAAUCUAGAGGUUGUUGGUUCAAUACCUACCCAAACCCAACCUAAAUAA